RNAcentral lists this ribosomal RNA (479 nucleotides) under uncultured bacterium. RNAcentral describes it as "partial 16S ribosomal RNA". It matches the Rfam family "Bacterial small subunit ribosomal RNA", at positions 28 to 507 of the family's 1533-position model. The record is from RNAcentral.
GAUGAACGCUCGCGGGAGGCCUAACACAUGCAAGCCGAGCGGUAUUGUUUCUUCGGAAAUGAGAGAGCGGCGUACGGGUGCGUAACACGUGUGCAACCUGCCUUUAUCUGGGGGAUAGCCUUUCGAAAGGAAGAUUAAUACUCCAUAAUAUAUUGAACGGCAUCGUUUAAUAUUGAAAGCUCCGGCGGAUAGAGAUGGGCACGCGCAGGAUUAGCUAGUUGGUGAGGUAACGGCUCACCAAGGCGAUGAUCUUUAGGGGGCCUGAGAGGGUGAUCCCCCACACUGGUACUGAGACACGGACCAGACUCCUACGGGAGGAAGCAGUGAGGAAUAUUGGUCAAUGGGUGCAAGCCUGAACCAGCCAUCCCGCGUGAAGGACGACUGCCCUAUGGGUUGUAAACUUCUUUUGUAUAGGGAUAAACCUACCCUCGUGAGGGUAGCUGAAGGUACUAUACGAAUAAGCACCGGCUAACUCCGUG